AAGCGUGGGGAGCAAACAGGAUUAGAUACCCUGGUAGUCCACGCUGUAAACGAUGUCGAUUUGGAGGUUGUGCCCUUGAGGCGUGGCUUCCGGAGCUAACGCGUUAAAUCGACCGCCUGGGGAGUACGGCCGCAAGGUUAAAACUCAAAUGAAUUGACGGGGGCCCGCACAAGCGGUGGAGCAUGUGGUUUAAUUCGAUGCAACGCGAAGAACCUUACCUGGUCUUGACAUCCACAGCACUUUCCA
RNAcentral lists this ribosomal RNA (246 nucleotides) under Mycobacterium kumamotonense. RNAcentral describes it as "Mycolicibacter kumamotonensis partial 16S ribosomal RNA". It matches the Rfam family "Bacterial small subunit ribosomal RNA", at positions 757 to 1002 of the family's 1533-position model. Lineage: Bacteria; Bacillati; Actinomycetota; Actinomycetes; Mycobacteriales; Mycobacteriaceae. The record is from RNAcentral.